Molecule: ribosomal RNA, 277 nt
Filed under: uncultured bacterium
Lineage: Bacteria
Description: partial 16S ribosomal RNA
Rfam family: Bacterial small subunit ribosomal RNA
Source: RNAcentral
CCUGAACGCUGGCGGCGUGGCUAAGACAUGCAAGUCGUACGGUGUAGCAAUACACAGUGGCGAACGGGUGAGUAAUGUAUCGCUAACGUGCCCCGGACUCAGGGAUAGCUAGCCGAAAGGUUAGGUAAUACCUGAUGAUAUGCUCCUGCUGCAUGGCAGGAGCCUCAAAGGUCCGCCGGUCUGGGAGCGGGCGAUAUCGUAUCAGCUAGUUGGUGAGGUAACGGCUCACCAAGGCGACGACGCGUAGCCGGACUGAGAGGUUGGCCGGCCACAUUGG